Xenopus laevis (African clawed frog) is the source of this 45-nucleotide non-coding RNA. Lineage: Eukaryota; Metazoa; Chordata; Amphibia; Anura; Pipidae. The record is from Rfam.
CCAAAGGCUCUUUUCAGAGCCACCAACCCACUCACUAAGCGCUGU